This 249-nucleotide ribosomal RNA is filed under the name uncultured Actinomycetales bacterium. Its description in RNAcentral is "partial 16S ribosomal RNA". It matches the Rfam family "Bacterial small subunit ribosomal RNA", at positions 84 to 334 of the family's 1533-position model. The record is from RNAcentral. Lineage: Bacteria; Bacillati; Actinomycetota; Actinomycetes; Actinomycetales.
GGGGUGCUCGAGUGGCGAACGGGUGAGUAACACGUGAGUAACCUGCCCUUGACUUUGGGAUAACUUCAGGAAACUGGGGCUAAUACCGGAUAGGAGCUCCUGCUGCAUGGUGGGGGUUGGAAAGUUUCGGCGGUUGGGGAUGGACUCGCGGCUUAUCAGCUUGUUGGUGGGGUAGUGGCUUACCAAGCCUUUGACGGGUAGCCGGCCUGAGAGGGUGACCGGCCACAUUGGGACUGAGAUACGGCCCAG